GCAGGCGUAGCUCAAAGGCAGAGUAGCGGGUUGUGAUUCCGUUGGUUGUGGGUUCAAAUCCCAUCGCCUGCCCCA
This 75-nucleotide transfer RNA is filed under the name Rickettsiales bacterium. Its description in RNAcentral is "tRNA-His". It matches the Rfam family "tRNA". Rfam says of the family: Transfer RNA (tRNA) molecules are approximately 80 nucleotides in length. The record is from RNAcentral. Lineage: Bacteria; Pseudomonadati; Pseudomonadota; Alphaproteobacteria; Rickettsiales.